RNAcentral lists this ribosomal RNA (424 nucleotides) under Pseudomonas sp. TTU2014-096BSC. RNAcentral describes it as "bacterial LSU rRNA". It matches the Rfam family "Bacterial large subunit ribosomal RNA", at positions 1 to 466 of the family's 2925-position model. The record is from RNAcentral. Lineage: Bacteria; Pseudomonadati; Pseudomonadota; Gammaproteobacteria; Pseudomonadales; Pseudomonadaceae.
GUUAUAUGGUCAAGUGAAGAAGCGCAUACGGUGGAUGCCUUGGCAGUCAGAGGCGAUGAAAGACGUGGUAGCCUGCGAAAAGCUUCGGGGAGUCGGCAAACAGACUUUGAUCCGGAGAUCUCUGAAUGGGGGAACCCAGCCAGCAUAAGCUGGUUAUCACACACUGAAUCCAUAGGUGUGUGAGGCGAACCCGGGGAACUGAAACAUCUAAGUACCCGGAGGAAAAGAAAUCAACCGAGAUUCCCUUAGUAGUGGCGAGCGAACGGGGACUAGCCCUUAAGUGGCUUUGAGAUUAGCGGAACGCUCUGGAAAGUGCGGCCAUAGUGGGUGAUAGCCCUGUACGCGAAAAUCUCUUAGUCAUGAAAUCGAGUAGGACGGAGCACGAGAAACUUUGUCUGAAUAUGGGGGGACCAUCCUCCAAGGC